ACAGGUGCUGCAUGGCUGUCGUCAGCUCGUGUCGUGAGAUGUUCGGUUAAGUCCGCUAACGAGCGCAACCCUCGCUGUGUGUUACAAGUGUCACACGGAACUGCCGGUCAUAAACCGGAGGAAGGUGGGAUGACGUCAAGUCAGCAUGGCCUUUAUAUCCUGGGCUACACACACGCUACAAUGGGAAGGGACAAUAGGUUGCGAAGCCGCGAGGCGGAGCCAAUCCAGCAAAACUUCCCUCAGUUCAGAUUGCAGGCUGCAACCCGCCUGCAUGAAGUUGGAGUUGCUAGUAAACGCAGGUCAGCCAUACUGCGUUGAAUACGUUCCCGGGGCUU
RNAcentral lists this ribosomal RNA (335 nucleotides) under uncultured Anaerolineaceae bacterium. RNAcentral's name for it is "bacterial SSU rRNA". It matches the Rfam family "Bacterial small subunit ribosomal RNA", at positions 1034 to 1382 of the family's 1533-position model. The record is from RNAcentral. Lineage: Bacteria; Bacillati; Chloroflexota; Anaerolineae; Anaerolineales; Anaerolineaceae.